AUGAUGGUGAGAGGACUUCUUGGAAGAGGGAACGAGGAGAGCAAAGAUACAGAGCUCUUUUCUGGACAUCCACCCAUCCCUCCUAAAACUGCAGAAAGUGUUUUGGGACGCAAAAUCUGCCCAGAGCCUGUCUGGAAAAGGAGAGGAUCACUAAACCAGUGGCUAUGGCUGACGGUUACAGCGAUGCAACUAGUCCUUUCAGGGGACUGUGAGCAGAAGUGCUAUGUCGAGGUCCCUUCUGGUCUGUGGUUGGGACUAGUGAGGAUGGCACCAGGCGCUAAGAUGAACGUCACAAGAGAUGGAGCCUAGUUCCCUGAGUCACCAAAUGGAGGGGAGUUUCACCAACCUUCUUUGGACUUUGGGUGAGUUAGAAAUAAACCUUUUAUUGUGUUAAGGCA
Molecule: long non-coding RNA, 398 nt
Filed under: Sus scrofa (pig)
Lineage: Eukaryota; Metazoa; Chordata; Mammalia; Artiodactyla; Suidae
Description: lncRNA (ENSSSCG00070001807.1)
Source: RNAcentral